Molecule: long non-coding RNA, 4314 nt
Organism: Zalophus californianus (California sea lion)
Lineage: Eukaryota; Metazoa; Chordata; Mammalia; Carnivora; Otariidae
Exons: 2
Source: RefSeq, a predicted model, not a curated record
AGAAACAUCACAUUUCUACUGUAGCUUUACGUGUUGUAAAUGCACAACAUUAGUGGGUUCCUACCCCUUGGCAAUUACAGUCCAAGUGACUCAGUUACAUAGUGAAGGGGGUAAAAUAAAUCCCUGAACUUCUCUCCACUAGAGAAGCAAGUGGUGAAGCAAUAUCCCAUCCUUUACCACAUUUUACCUUUAGCCACUGUUUCAUACCAGUUGGGAAAUCAAAGUUUCAUCAUACGGCCCUCCUGGUAGAUACUUGGAAGAAUUACAACACACUUUAGCAUGUUUAGAAAUGUCCUUUUCCCUGCCCACAUAUUAUAAAGACAUAAUUGCAUAGUGGGAGCCUUGGAAAAGUUUUAAAUCUCUUCUGUGAAUGAGGAGAAGUGCAGACAUGUUGGCCAAGUUGAUCAUUUUCAUGGUGGAUCUCACCCUUGCUUUGGCCACUUUUGGUCUCCUCUUUGCUGUUUCCUUAAUAGCAACCACAGGUAUAUUCAUCUUCGUCCUCUUCUAUCUCUUCAAAGGGAUGGACAAACACUGUGACUUCAGCAAGGGCAGAGUCUGGGUGCUGGAUUCCAGCAGUGCUACUGGGAAGGCAUUUGCAGGCAACAUGGGGAGAGUCAGGUCCGGGAUGCUCCCCGUCCAUUUUCCAGCUGCAAGAGAAGAGGCGCAAGGAGCGUGUUUUUGUCUGCUAGAGAGCGAGGAGCUCUCUGUGGUGGAGGAGGUGUGUGGGAGAACCUGCAGAAUGUCUCACCCACCCAACGGAGAGGUCAUUCAAACUGCCAUCUACACAUGAAUAACAAAGAAAUUCUCAUAAACAAGCAGAAAUACCCAAGAGGCAUGAAGAGUUUUAAUACUUCAAAAAUGUGGGUCUUAUGACAGUACAGAUGCAGAAAAGACAGAUUUUAGAACUCUAAAAACUCAGCCUUGGAGAGGAUAAACAUGCUAGUCAACAACAUAGUACUGAAACUUGUCGAAAUGCCUUUGGAGUUUGAAAUAUCUAGAGCCGCCAAAAUGUUCAAGAGUGAAAUUGAAAAAUGUUUCUUCCAAAUGCCUAAGCCAACCAAACGUGAGCAUAUUUGCCAUCAUGGCCAAACCGACCAUUGCUUUUGCUGGUCUCAGCCUGGGCCAAGUGGGGCACCCUUCACUACCCGACUGAAGACCAGUGUCAAAUCCGUGCUUCCUUCUACUUUGCCCAGAUGGGAUUUCUCUCUCCACCAUGACACCCUGUCAAUACUGUACUUGUCACACAUCACAUUCAUUGUUUUAUGUGGUUUGUUUAUUUGUUGUUUUUCCUAUCUCACCCUUAGAUUAUCCUUAAACUUUAGCAAUUGCUUCUCAGCUGCUCUGUAUGGUCAGCAGUGCCAAUCCAAGUGCUGUGAAUAUUAAUAAACACGUUUCUGAAUCAAUAAAGCCCCAAGAAAUCUACAGCUACAGGGAUAAAUGCUGUAUAUUGCAAAGAAAGGUGAAAAUGAAUGAAGGAGGACCAUCAGCUGAGGAGUGAGCUUAUCAGAGUCCUCAAACAUUCAAUAGGAAGGAGCGGAAGUUAGAGUCCUAAACAUUUGUUCAUGUCUUACUAACGGUUAAUUCCUUAAGAGUAGUCAGCAGCAGAAUUCUAGAUUUUAGAAUUCUAGUUCCUACCUUUGUUACUUGGAAGUGAAGAAGAGACUAUGAUAGUGCCAGAAGAACAGCUGGGCUGGUAAGAUGUCUAAGGAGCCUCUGGGAAAGGAGAAGCAGGGGAAGCUUCGCAUCCUGGACUGUGGACUUAACCAGAACUGGAUUCUCCAGAAAGCUGAGAUGGACACAGGGGUGUGUAUCCAGGAAGUUUACUUUGGGAAGUUCCAUCCCAAGGAACUGGACUGGGAGACUGGAAAGAGUAAUACAAGGAAAGUAUGUUAUCAGGCUCAACAGUACCAUGGGCAAUUGGAGCUCCAUCUUCCAAGGGGUACUCUGAGAAGGUACAGAGAACACACCUCAAAGUUGUCCACCAGAAGGAGAAGGAGAAACUAUCCAUCACCUUUCUUUUUCCCUUGGUCAAGUUAUGGGGGCAGGCGGACACUGUUCAUGACCUUGCACUUCCAGGAUUGCACCUGCUUCAGAAUAGCUGAAUGGUGUCCAGAAGGUAUCUUUAGACAUGGCAAAGGAGAAGCUGCUGAGCAGAAAGCAAGAGAUAAGUGCUGCCACUGAUGUAGGGUGCAGGCUGGUGACCCCUUCACCAAGCAGGUUGCUAUAAAAAGGUGGGCAAAGAGGAUGUGAUCAAGGGCACAAGAGGGGCCUGCCACCAGGUCUUAGAAGUACAUGAGUCUAAUGCAAAUCUGUCUGUCCUGGCAAUCAUGAGCACAGGAUCAUACCAAUCCCUUCUGAACAAAAGUCAAAGAAAGGGGCAUGAAGACCAAGGAGUAGCCAGAGAGAGAACAGUUGGGGAGUGGAAGAAGCCAGAGGAUCAGGAACAUAGCCCUUGCCUAGAACCAAACUCCGCCUUUUCUAUGCUUCAAACACAGACCAACACCUAGGUGGGAGUUUUUCUUUCUCCCUAUUAACAUUUUUUAAAGAUUUUAUUUAUUUAUUCGAGAGAGAGAGAGAAUGAGAGAUAGAGAGCAUGAGAGGGGGGAGGGUCAGAGGGAGAAGCAGACUCCCUGCUGAGCAGGGAGCCCGAUGUGGGACUCAAUCCCGGGACUCCAGGAUCAUGACCUGAGCCGAAGGCAGUCGCUUAACCAACUGAGCCACCCAGGUGCCCCCUAUUAACAUUUUUGAUAUUUGGUUGCUACUCAUUUCAACUUGCCAACUCUGACACAGCCAUGCCAUCUGCCAGCCAUUUUUUACCUGCUCCUUAAUUUACUUGAUUGCUUUCGGUGCUCUGAGUUUUAGGGAAAGCUUUUGGCUUUUUCUGCUCAUAACCUGUCUUAGUUUGGGUUGCUCCAAAGCUGACCCUGAGGAAAGAAUGUGGGUACAAGUAGUUGAUUCCUGGGGGUACGAGUGACCCCAGGAAGUGCUGUGAGUGGGGAGGGAGAGCAGGGAGGAAGGCAGCCAGUAAGGGUGUGUGCAUGAGCAGGUUAUUGGCAUCCAGGUUUUCUGGGAGUUUGCCGCACCGAGGGACAGGGAAGCUGGGGUGUCUAUGCACGGGCUCCAAUUCCUGACGAGCCCACUGUAGUUCCUAGCUGCCCUGCACACAGGCAGAGCAAGCUCCCCUCAUGCUAAGAAAGCCUCCAGACAGAGAAAGCAAGCAGAGGAAUGUGGAUGGUUGAGGGGAAAGUGAUAGUGUAUACUACAGCGUCAAGGAAUCCAGAAGAUGGCAGAAGGAUCUAGACGGGGACAUCGGUAGCUUCUACUACACACUCUGAGAUGAUGUUGCAAAGGGCAGAAUGUCCAAACAUGGAGAAAAACAACAGCAGCAACCCCCUGGUGGCAUCUAGAUGGAAAGAAUAGUUCAUUAGUACAGUGUCCGAAGGAAUUAAAAUUAGCUUUGAAACGGAGAUUAUUUAUUCAACUUUGCAGACAAGAACUUCACAAUGGCCUUGAAUCUCCUUAAGAAAAAUCUCCUUUGCUAUUACUGAAGAACAAAUUGGGAAAGAAACCAACAUGUUUAUUGCUUUGGCCUAAAAACGAAGGACCUCACCCCUGUUAAAUACCAACUGCUUGGCUCUGUUCCUACGUGAACACAUGGAAACCUGGUUUGGGACAGGGGUGAUUCUCUUGUACUAGUCAUUGCUCUGGACCACCACCAACGUGGAGUCACUCAAAGAUCAGAAGGGGUUUCACCUUUUUUUUCUCCACCCAAUGCUUUCUGUUGGAAAAGCUCAAUGACGAUGUAUGCAACUCGCUGAGGAUUCAGUGGACUUCACUGUGGAUGGAAGACUGCAUGGAGAACAAAAGAGAGACUACAAAGGAAAAACUUUCAGUGGCUUCAUAGAUUAAAAAUUCACCCUGAUUCCUCAUUUUCUUUACUCACCUCUGCCACAGACUUUGAGUGAGAUGAGACAGCUGUUCCUUCUGACCUGGGCUUGGCCACAUAGCAGACAUGACAUAAACCUGAAUGUUGGGCUGGUCUUCUUGGCCAUUGUGCUCUUCCAUGAGAAGAACAUGUCCUCAGUAACUGCCAACUCCUCAACCCCAGCUGGGAGCUUUCGUCGUGAAACACAACAGCUGAAGUAAAGCUGCCCAGACAAGGCUAUUCUAGAUGAGACAAGAGCAGUCAACCAGAGAACUCAAGCAUGCGGACAGAUGCUUACAGUUGUAAACCUCUGAAUUUUGGAGUGAGUUUAUUAUGCAGCAUAAGGGUGGCAUUAUAAAAGUUCUCAAUAAAUACCAAGGCUUUCAUUA